UAAGCGGUGGAUCACUUGGCUCAUUGGUUGAUGAAGAAUGCAGCCAGCUCAGAGAUUUGAUGUGAAUUGCAGGACACUCAGAUCACUGAUAUUUCAAAUGCACAUUGGGAUUCCGACUCUGUGUUGGAGCCUCGCCAGUCUG
Trichonephila clavipes is the source of this 142-nucleotide non-coding RNA. NCBI's taxonomy places the organism in Eukaryota, Metazoa, Arthropoda, Arachnida, Araneae, Nephilidae. The record is from the annotation of a GenBank genome assembly.